GCGCAGCAGGCGAGAAACUUCACACUGUGCGAAAGCACGAUGAGGGAAUCCCAAGUGCUUGCACGUAAGUGUAAGCUGUUUCUCUGUCUAAAACGCAGAGAGAGUAAGGGCUGGGUAAGACGGGUGCCAGCCGCCGCGGUAAUACCUGCAGCUCAAGUGGUGACCGUUAUUAUUGGGGCCUAAAACGGUCCGUAGCCGGUUUUAAUAAAUGCCUGGGUAAAUUGUGUAGCUUAACUAUACGAAUUCCGGGUAGACUGUUAAACUUGAGACCGGGAGAAGUUAGAGGUACUCCUGGGGU
RNAcentral lists this ribosomal RNA (298 nucleotides) under uncultured microorganism. RNAcentral's name for it is "partial 16S ribosomal RNA". It matches the Rfam family "Archaeal small subunit ribosomal RNA", at positions 330 to 627 of the family's 1478-position model. The record is from RNAcentral.